CUGCUGUGGAACCAGGUGGGACAGAAACUUGGUCUCCACAGAGGUAACCAGCUGCAUGAAAGGUUAGCACUGGUUGAAAUUUAUUUCAGCAUAUAUAGAAAUGCAAGGAAACAGGAGAUAAGAAAGCAAGAAACCCAAAAUUCUUGCCAAGGAAUUAGGAAGUGAGAAGACUCUACCACCACUGUUCACAUGGCCAAAGGAGUUCUCAAGAGGAAUUUUGUUAGGUUCUGACUGCUUCCAUGCUAUGCUCACUUUCUGCUAGGCACUACAUAGUGGACAGCACUGGUUUUCUUCAAUUUGUAAGUUGUACCUCCUUCUGUUCAAGUUGUGACUAAAACCACUUUCCAACAGUUCC
This 355-nucleotide long non-coding RNA is filed under the name Cricetulus griseus (Chinese hamster). RNAcentral's name for it is "lncRNA (ENSCGRG00015036456.1)". The record is from RNAcentral. Lineage: Eukaryota; Metazoa; Chordata; Mammalia; Rodentia; Cricetidae.